AUUGAACGCUGGCGGCAGGCCUAACACAUGCAAGUCGAGCGGAUGAAGGGAGCUUGCUCCUGGAUUCAGCGGCGGACGGGUGUGUAAUGCCUAGGAAUCUGCCUGGUAGUGGGGGAUAACGUCCGGAAACGGGCGCUAAUACCGCAUACGUCCUGAGGGAGAAAGAGGGGGAUCUUCGGACCUCACGCUAUCAGAUGAGCCUAGGUCGGAGUAGCUAGUUGGUGGGGUAAAGGCCUACCAAGGCGACGAUCCGUAACUGGUCUGAGAGGAUGAUCAGUCACACUGGAACUGGGACACGGUCCAGACUCCUACGGGAGGCAGCAGUGGGGAAUAUUGGACAAUGGGCGAAAGCCUGAUCCAGCCAUGCCGCGUGUGUGAAGAAGGUCUUCGGAUUGUAAAGCACUUUUAGUUGGGAGGAAGGGCAGUAAGUUAAUACCUUGCUGUUUUGACGUUACCAACAGGAUAAGCACCGGCUAACUUCGUG
This 484-nucleotide ribosomal RNA is filed under the name uncultured bacterium. RNAcentral's name for it is "partial 16S ribosomal RNA". It matches the Rfam family "Bacterial small subunit ribosomal RNA", at positions 30 to 507 of the family's 1533-position model. The record is from RNAcentral.